UCUCCAGCCGGUGUUGAAACAGUGCAACC
RNAcentral lists this non-coding RNA (29 nucleotides) under Rattus norvegicus (Norway rat). Lineage: Eukaryota; Metazoa; Chordata; Mammalia; Rodentia; Muridae. The record is from RNAcentral.